UACAUGGGGUGCAAACGUUGCUCGGAAUCAUUGGGCGUAAAGCGCGCGUAGGCGGUUGCUUAAGUCGGAUGUGAAAGCCCUCGGCUUAACUGAGGAAGUGCAUCCGAAACUGAGCAGCUAGAGUACGAAAGAGGGUCGCGGAAUUCCCGGUGUAGAGGUGAAAUUCGUAGAUAUCGGGAGGAACACCAAUGGCGAAGGCAGCUCGCUGGGACGGUACUGACGCUGAGACGCGAAAGCGUGGGGAGCAAACAGG
This 253-nucleotide ribosomal RNA is filed under the name uncultured bacterium. Its description in RNAcentral is "partial 16S ribosomal RNA". It matches the Rfam family "Bacterial small subunit ribosomal RNA", at positions 524 to 776 of the family's 1533-position model. The record is from RNAcentral.